CCUACGGGAGACAGCAGUGAGGAAUAUUGGUCAAUGGGCGGAAGCCUGAACCAGCCAAGUAGCGUGCAGGAUGACGGUCCUACGGGUUGUAAACUGCUUUUAUACGGGAAUAACGCGCCUUACGUGUAGGUCUUUGCAUGUACCUUAUGAAUAAGGACCGGCUAAUUCCGUGCCAGCAGCCGCGGUAAUACGGAAGGUCCGGGCGUUAUCCGGAUUUAUUGGGUUUAAAGGGAGCGUAGGCGGGUUGUCAAGCGUGCUGUGAAAUGUCCGGGCUCAACCCGGGCCUUGCAGCGCGAACUGGCGGGCUUGAGUCCGCGGAAAGCAGGCGGAAUUCGUCGUGUAGCGGUGAAAUGCUUAGAUAUGGCGAAGAACCCCGAUUGCGAAGGCAGCUUGCUGCAGCGGAACUGACGCUGAUGCUCGAAAGCGCGGGUAUCGAACAGGAUUAGAUACCCUGGUAGUC
RNAcentral lists this ribosomal RNA (460 nucleotides) under uncultured bacterium. RNAcentral's name for it is "partial 16S ribosomal RNA". It matches the Rfam family "Bacterial small subunit ribosomal RNA", at positions 338 to 795 of the family's 1533-position model. The record is from RNAcentral.